AAGAUAUUAGUAAAAUAAUUACGUAACUUUGUCAAAGUUGAAUCAUAGACUAAACAUCUAUAUAUCUUA
This 69-nucleotide transfer RNA is filed under the name Mico humilis (Roosmalens' dwarf marmoset). RNAcentral's name for it is "tRNA-Asp". The record is from RNAcentral. Lineage: Eukaryota; Metazoa; Chordata; Mammalia; Primates; Cebidae.